GACAGAGGUGCCAAGCGUUAGGCGGAAUCACUGGGCUUAAAGCGUGUGUAGGUGGAUGUCUAAGUACCUUGUGAAAUCCCAUGGCUCAACCUUGGAACUGCCUUUGAUACUGGGGAUCUCGAGUCCGGAAGAGGUGAGUGGAACUGCGAGUGUAGAGGUGAAAUUCGUAGAUAUUCGCAAGAACACCAGUGGCGAAGGCGGCUCACUGGUCCGGUACUGACGCUGAGGUGCGAAAGCGUGGGGAGCAAACAGG
RNAcentral lists this ribosomal RNA (253 nucleotides) under uncultured bacterium. Its description in RNAcentral is "partial 16S ribosomal RNA". It matches the Rfam family "Bacterial small subunit ribosomal RNA", at positions 524 to 776 of the family's 1533-position model. The record is from RNAcentral.